RNAcentral lists this transfer RNA (64 nucleotides) under Paranemertes cf. peregrina SCS-2010. Its description in RNAcentral is "tRNA-Ser". Lineage: Eukaryota; Metazoa; Nemertea; Enopla; Monostilifera; Emplectonematidae. The record is from RNAcentral.
GACUAUUUCUUUGUGGGUUUUGUUUUGAAAGCAAAUGCUAAAGUAUUAAUUUACUUAAUAGUUU